GUCACUGGUUCGGCACAGGACUGGGCGAUCCUGCGUGCCAUUGCCACAGCUGACGGAGCACUGUGACCAGGGUCCUAUUCUCCACUGUGCUGGACAGAGCUCCCGGUUGCAAGGCCUCCUGCCCUCGGGACGGUCGUUGUUGCAGUACUUGGUGUGAACAGACCGAUUUGUGUUGUCGUGCAGGGGUUGGAUGCAUCGCACAGAUCGCACCUGGUAUCCUGUUUUCCCACAGCUCUUGCUGCAAGGCUCCCAUUCUCCUGUAACCCAUAUGGGCUGUGAGCACUCCUGGAGGUUGCACACCC
Molecule: long non-coding RNA, 302 nt
Filed under: Gallus gallus (chicken)
Lineage: Eukaryota; Metazoa; Chordata; Aves; Galliformes; Phasianidae
Source: RNAcentral